UUUGCUCUGCGGCAGCAAUAGUACCUCCGCCGAGCAAAUCCACAAUCCGAACACCUAUGGUUGUUCCUCCAAUUGAUCCUCCUUCCAAUCGGAACCGAGAGAAAAAGUUGCUUGUAGCAUUUCCAGGUUUGGGCAUUAAUUAUUACUAUAAAGAUGAAUCAUCAUAAAUUUUAAAGAACUAGUGGGCUAAGACUCUUCUAAUACUUCAGUGGCACUUCUAUUCAGACUUUAACGGUGCCAACUGUCAACUUCCCUAGCAACUGAAUAUGCUACAAGAGGAGAAUGAGGUUAUAUUAGAAAAGGUGGUGCUCUUCUAGCCUAACAAAGUUGGUUUUAAACUCAAAUUAUGUGAUAUUUAACAUAUCUACUUGAUUAUAUUGACAGUUAAGAGUUGCAGAG
Non-coding RNA from Arachis ipaensis, 399 nucleotides. Lineage: Eukaryota; Viridiplantae; Streptophyta; Magnoliopsida; Fabales; Fabaceae. The record is from RefSeq and is a predicted model, not a curated record.